UUAAAGACCUAGUAAUAGGUAUGCUUUAGGAGGGGCUUGCGCCAUAUUAGUUAGUUGGUAGGGUAAUGGCCUACCAAGACGAUGAUGUGUAGCUGGACUGAGAGGUUGAACAGCCACAUUGGGACUGAGACACGGCCCAAACUCCUACGGGAGGCAGCAGUAGGGAAUUUUCGGCAAUGGAGGAAACUCUGACCGAGCAACGCCGCGUGAAUGACGAAGUACUUCGGUAUGUAAAGUUCUUUUAUCAAGGAAGAAAAGCAAAUGGCGAACCAUUUGUUUGCCGGUACUUGAUGAAUAAGCCCCGGCUAAUUAUGUGCCAGCAGCCGCGGUAAGACAUAAGGGGCAAGUGUUAUCCGGAAUUAUUGGGCGUAAAGGGUGCGUAGGCGGUCUAGUAAGUCAGUGGUGUAAUGGCAACGCUUAACGUUGUCCGGCUAUUGAAACUGCUAAACUUGAGUUAGAUAGAGGCGAGUGGAAUUCCAUGUGUAGCGGUAAAAUGCGUAAAUAUAUGGAGGAACACCAGAGGCGUAGGCGGCUCGCUGGGUCUUAACUGACGCUGAGGCACGAAAGCGUGGGGAGCAAACAGGAUUAGAUACCCUGGUAGUCCACGCCGUAAACGAUGAGUACUAAGUGUCGGGUUAAACCGGUACUGAAGUUAACACAUUAAGUACUCCGCCUGAGUAGUACGUACGCAAGUAUGAAACUUAAAGGAAUUGACGGGACUCCGCACAAGCGGUGGAUCAUGUUGUUUAAUUCGAAGAUACCCGAAAAACCUUACCAGGUCUUGACAUGUUUUUGCAAAAUUAUAGUAAUAUCAUGGAGGUUACCAGAAACACAGGUGGUGCAUGGUUGUCGUCAGCUCGUGUCGUGAGAUGUUAGGUUAAGUCCUAAAACGAGCGCAACCCUUAUCGUUAGUUGCCAGCACGUUAUGGUGGGGACUUUAACGAGACUGCCAAUGAAAAAUUGGAGGAAGGUGAGGAUCACGUCAAAUCAGCAUGCCCCUUAUGAUCUGGGCUACAAACGUGAUACAAUGGCUGUUACAAAGGGUAGCUGAAACGCAAGUUCUUGGCCAAUCCCCAAAAACAGUCCCAGUCCGGAUUGAAGUCUGCAACUCGACUUCAUGAAGUUGGAAUCGCUAGUAAUCGCGAAUCA
This 1149-nucleotide ribosomal RNA is filed under the name Candidatus Phytoplasma australasiaticum. RNAcentral describes it as "bacterial SSU rRNA". It matches the Rfam family "Bacterial small subunit ribosomal RNA", at positions 195 to 1351 of the family's 1533-position model. The record is from RNAcentral. Lineage: Bacteria; Bacillati; Mycoplasmatota; Mollicutes; Acholeplasmatales; Acholeplasmataceae.